RNAcentral lists this ribosomal RNA (464 nucleotides) under uncultured bacterium. Its description in RNAcentral is "partial 16S ribosomal RNA". It matches the Rfam family "Bacterial small subunit ribosomal RNA", at positions 28 to 506 of the family's 1533-position model. The record is from RNAcentral.
GACGAACGCUGGCGGCGUGCUUAAUACAUGCAAGUCGAACGGAAAGGCCCCUUUCGGGGUCCUCGAGCGGUGGAGGGGGGCGUAACACGAACGUAACCUGCACUUGACUUCGGGAUAACGUCAGGAAACUGGGGCUAAUACCGGUAAGGAAUCAUUGCUGCAUGGGGGGGGUUCGAAAGCUACGGCGGGUUUGGCUGUCCGCGCGGCUUAUCUGCGCGUUGGUGUGGUAGUGGCUUACCAACGCUUCGACGGGUAGCCGGCCUGAGAGGGCGACCGGGCACAUUGGGACUGAGAUACGGCCCAGACGCGUACGGGAGGCAGUGGUGGGGAGUAUUGCAGAAUGGGCGGGAGCCUGAUGCAGCAACGCCGCGAGCGGGAUGCCGGCUUUCGGGUUGUAAACAGCUUUCAGCAGGGGCGAAGCUUGUGGUGCGGGUACCUGUAGAAGAAGCACGGGCUACUUCCGU